Molecule: long non-coding RNA, 161 nt
Organism: Strigops habroptila (Kakapo)
Lineage: Eukaryota; Metazoa; Chordata; Aves; Psittaciformes; Psittacidae
Exons: 2
Source: RefSeq, a predicted model, not a curated record
CCAGUGCUCUUCUGGUUCUGAGAAGGUCACAGGUGCAGUUCCAAGGGUUUCCGUCUAAAUACAGAUGACGAAGACGGGGAGACCUUAUGGCAACAGAACUGACAAAGAGUCACAGAACUUUAUGAGCACAAGCGUAGCGGGAAGAUGUGAGCUAUGCUGAA